GAUUAGGCUCCCUGGCUUUUGCCAUCUGUGUACAUUGUUUGAAUAGUCAAUACAGAAACCCAUUCUUUUUACAGUUUGAGUUCUUGAUUGUGAGUGUGUGAGUGAUUGUUUUGGAUAGGUUUCAUACCCAGAAACCUAUCAAGGGGUUACUAAACAAUUUAAUGAUUUUUUUAAUUAACUUAAACAAAUGAGACUAAAGGGAUAAGGCAAAACAAAAAGACCAAAAUUUUGGCUUAAAGCAUGAAAAACUUGACCGAUUCCUUGAGAAGCUACUUUAGAUCCAUUAGCUAGGAAUAUGAAAUUAGGUGUUAUAGAAAAGGAGAGAGAAGGAAACAAAGAGAUAUUACUAGAGAUAGAAAGAAUUAAUAUAAAAGAAAGUAGAUUUUUAUUCAAUUGAUUCAAUACAGUUUAUCCACUUCUAUAUGUACAGAACUCAAACUCUAAAGUAAUAAUUACAAGAGAUCUCUAGAAUCUUCUAACAACUUCUAGUAAUUUAAUAUCCUACCAACAACUUCCAAUACUGCAUUUAAUAUCCAACUAAGAACACUCCCCCUCCAAUUGGUGAAUGAAUGAAUGUGUUAGGAAUAAAAGAGGGAAGUAACAUAAUACCUAAAUGAAUG
RNAcentral lists this small RNA (620 nucleotides) under Vigna angularis var. angularis. RNAcentral describes it as "Non-protein coding transcript". Lineage: Eukaryota; Viridiplantae; Streptophyta; Magnoliopsida; Fabales; Fabaceae. The record is from RNAcentral.